AUUGAACGCUGGCGGCAUGCCUUACACAUGCAAGUCGAACGGUAACAGGUUAAGCUGACGAGUGGCGAACGGGUGAGUAACACAUCGGAACGUGCCCAAUCGUGGGGGAUAACGUAGCGAAAGCUACGCUAAUACCGCAUACGAUCUACGGAUGAAAGCGGGGGAUCGCAAGACCUCGCGCGAAUGGAGCGGCCGAUGGCAGAUUAGGUAGUUGGUGGGGUAAAGGCUCACCAAGCCGACGAUCUGUAGCUGGUCUGAGAGGACGACCAGCCACACUGGGACUGAGACACGGCCCAGACUCCUACGGGAGGCAGCAGUGGGGAAUUUUGGGACAAUGGGCGCAAGCCUGAUCCAGCCAUGCCGCGUGUGGGAAGAAGGCC
This 380-nucleotide ribosomal RNA is filed under the name uncultured bacterium. RNAcentral's name for it is "bacterial SSU rRNA". It matches the Rfam family "Bacterial small subunit ribosomal RNA", at positions 29 to 416 of the family's 1533-position model. The record is from RNAcentral.